GCUGGGGACACAGCGCGGUUUGUCCCGGUGUCUCUGAGCCGCCCAAGGCCAAUGCUGGUCAGGUUCGUCAGGAUGAAACCUGAGAGCUUGACGAUUCCGGUAAAAUACUCGCAGCACUUAAAAUGAAUGUUCACGGAAACAGGUGCUGUCGCAGUCCCGUGCAGAAGGGGUCCACUGUGCUGAGAUGAUGACCCAUCCACACAGACAAUCUCAGGACUAUGGAGUGAUGAUCCCCGUGAAACACAACCACCUGGAGCCACAGAUGGUCAUCUUCGAAGAAACACCAGGAGUCUGAGUGUAAGCACAAAGCUGUGAAGACUGGAUCCUGAGUGAAGAGCAAAGGGGAGAUUCCUGAGCAUCAGGCUUGGCAGUGUGUGCGCCCCCUGCAGGUGGACACAGGAGCCUGGUCUCUGUGGAAGUCUGUGUGGUGGUUGCCAGCCAGAGCCUCUGCUUUAAAGGGAAGCAUCUCUCUCCUGCAUCCCAACCCCAGUGUUACCAUUGUAUUCCUGAAAGUGACUUUAUUUGAGAAGAAUCCAGGGUCUGACUUCAGAAAAGAAGGAAGAGGAAGUAUGAGGAGAGGAUAAAUUGUUUUGGGCUUUGGGUCUCUUCUGGUGUUUUUGUUUUGUGUUUGAGACAAGGUCAUGCUACAUCACUCUGGCUGUCCUGAAACUUACUGUGUAGACCAGGCUGGCCUUGAACUCACAGAGAUCCACCUGUAUUUGCAUCCCAUGUCAUGAGAUUAAAGGUUUUUGUCACCACA
This is a non-coding RNA of Cricetulus griseus (Chinese hamster), 760 nucleotides long. NCBI's taxonomy places the organism in Eukaryota, Metazoa, Chordata, Mammalia, Rodentia, Cricetidae. The record is from RefSeq and is a predicted model, not a curated record.